Cyprinus carpio carpio is the source of this 1298-nucleotide long non-coding RNA. The record is from Ensembl. Lineage: Eukaryota; Metazoa; Chordata; Actinopteri; Cypriniformes; Cyprinidae.
UUCUACAUGGUCAGCAGAUGCUUUUCAGUCCCUUCAGACCGAAUGAGCAAAUCGUUGUGUUUGCACGAGUCUAACUAAUAGAAACAUCACGCUAAUAUUCACCUCAGCUCGACAGCGACCCGCCGUUUCAGCCUCAAUGAGGCCAUUUCACAUUCAGACACUCAGCAUAAUGAAAGGCAAUAUCUAGGAAAUCCAAUUUUAUAUCAAUUGCAGCCUUUAGAUGCAGAAUAAUAAGUAAAAAUCUAAAGGGAAAUUACGAGGCGAGGCUAUUAUAAUGCAGACAACCUCCUAGAAAGACAACUGUUUGUGUUUUUAAAGCAGUGAUAUUUCUCAAUCAGGUUUGAUUUGGUUCGUUGUUCAUGAGUUUUCUAGCAGCUUUUCUAUCAGAAUCUACUUGUAAAGCCUCGCAAGGCCACGUCAACACAAUUUCCUAAACGCAUUCAGAAUGAAAAACAUGCAUAUGAGCAUUCAAGCCGGACAAACCAAUUCAUGAAGUUCUUAAGCUCGUCCUUAAAUCCAGACUGCAGUAAAUCCCAUAUUGCAGCUCAACUGCAAACGUCGGCCUGUGUUUUCUGCUUCGUUCCGCUGCAUUUCCAUCCGCUCAUUCAUGUCUCAUCCAGGCAGUCAAAGGAUCCAUUGAUGGCUCCAUCGCUCCUCUGUGGGCUCCUGCUGCGGGUCGAGUCCCGGCGGGUGUGAAGCUUCAUCCCACAUCUGACCGCUGGACGAAGGAUCAGUCAUUCCUCAGGUGACAGAUCGACGAGUGUUACAGAGGACAGCGGGUCAGAGGUCAUCUGCUCAUGUGAUUUGAAUGACAGGAGUGCUGUGUAUAGAUAAAAGGCUGUACUUAGAGCAGCGCUGUUUAGUGACUGGGAGAAUCAGGCUGUUUAAGGCCAUGUCUGAUGCUAAAACAUGUAGAAAGGAGUGUGGAAAAGAAGUGGCCAUCUAGAUGACAGGCGACUGGUCAGGAACAGCCUAAAGAACAAAGAAAGUCAUACAAGUUCGUAACGACAUGAAGGAAUGAAACUGAAGUCUGCUGAGUUAUGAAAGAGCAACUUCUGAAGAACCAAAUAUUCCUCUGGAAAACCUCUGAAGCUUCAGACAUGUUUUCCAGCAGGCUCCCCCUCCUUCCAGCCUCCUUCUCUUCACUGUUGGCUUUAUCAAGGUCAUCUCUGCUGCUGCUCCCAUCUGCUCUGCAGCAACAGCGCCUCCGUCUGGACCAACACAGGUAUUUCAUUUAUGAGCUUGCUCAAUGUGAUUUUUUUUUUUUUUUUUUAUGUUUCACAGUGUAUUUGUUUUUU